This 492-nucleotide ribosomal RNA is filed under the name uncultured bacterium. RNAcentral describes it as "partial 16S ribosomal RNA". It matches the Rfam family "Bacterial small subunit ribosomal RNA", at positions 29 to 507 of the family's 1533-position model. The record is from RNAcentral.
AGUGAACGCUGGCGGUAGGCCUAACACAUGCAAGUCGAACGGCAGCACAGUAAGAGCUUGCUCUUACGGGUGGCGAGUGGCGGACGGGUGAGGAAUACAUCGGAAUCUACUUUUUCGUGGGGGAUAACGUAGGGAAACUUACGCUAAUACCGCAUACGACCUACGGGUGAAAGCAGGGGAUCUUCGGACCUUGCGCGAUUGAAUGAGCCGAUGUCGGAUUAGCUAGUUGGCGGGGUAAAGGCCCACCAAGGCGACGAUCCGUAGCUGGUCUGAGAGGAUGAUCGGCCACACGAGAGCUGAGACACGGUCCAGACGCCUACGGGAGGCAGCAGUGGGGAAUAUUGGACAAUGGGCGCAAGCCUGAUCCAGCCAGACCGCGUGGGUGAAGAAGGCCUUCGGGUUGUAAAGCCCUUUUGUUGGGAAAGAAAAGCAGCAGGUUAAUACCCCGCUGUUCUGACGGUACCCAAAGAAUAAGCACCGGCUAACUUCGUG